RNAcentral lists this unclassified non-coding RNA (207 nucleotides) under plant metagenome. RNAcentral describes it as "partial contains small subunit ribosomal RNA, internal transcribed spacer 1, and 5.8S ribosomal RNA". The record is from RNAcentral.
UUUCCGUAGGUGAACCUGCGGAAGGAUCAUUCAUAAUAAGUGUUUUAUGGCACUUUUUUAAAUCUAUAUCCACCUCGUGUGCAAUGUCAGAGUUGGUCUCUUGUGAUCAGCCCCAAACAUAAACUAAUACAUCAACUCAUUGUCUGAUAAAUAUUAUGAAUAAAACAAUUCAAAAUACAACUUUCAACAACGGAUCUCUUGGCUCUC